GGCAGUGUAGUAUAAUCGCUAAGAUAUUGGUCUUGUAACCUAAAGGUUGCAGGUUCGAUUCCCUGGUAGGACACUGCCG
RNAcentral lists this transfer RNA (79 nucleotides) under Anguilla anguilla (European eel). Its description in RNAcentral is "tRNA-OTHER". The record is from RNAcentral. Lineage: Eukaryota; Metazoa; Chordata; Actinopteri; Anguilliformes; Anguillidae.